CAUGAUGCAGUGUCAUGAGUAAUGAUAAAGCCAGCAUUAAAUACAUGGCAUUAGGGAAGUGCAGAGGCAAGAAAAAUCUAUUUUGUUUCAGUACAAAGAGAUUCCGAAGACCCAUGGUAUUAUGAGUGUUGUUACCUGUUUCUCACAGUGGGAGAUAUGAAAUUAACCAGGAAUGGUGAAUUUCACAAUAAAAAACACGAAGGGAUGCUUCCUAGACCUACAAAGGGGGAGACAGUGCACGGAUACCACAAACUUCACGUGCACUGAUAGGACAAUAAACAAAUGCCUCCCAAGAGAUGUUACAUGGACAAGAAGGGCACAAAGAAGUUUAUACUUCCUGCUCUAGAUUAAUUGUAUCCCGAUACAACACAGGAAGGACAUGGGCUUGAAAUGAACAGACUUGGGCCCAGAUUCUAGCUCCAUCAUUUGCUUCUUUAUCCAGAGCCUCCAAUUCAUUUGCCUUCCAGAGUUUCUGCAGUGAUCAGCAAAACCAUCUGACACAGGGGACCACACAGCGGGAACUCAAUAAAUGCUAAUUCCUUCUCUCAUCCUGUUGCAGAGUCAGCCCAAACCUCUCUCCAAUAUCUUCUACAGGGAAAAGAUCUCUUGGGCUCACCCAGGCUGGGCUGUGGUGUGCAAUUCUUCAUUAAGAGAUAUGAAGAGCCCAGAAAUGGAAAAGCUGGAAUAAAGGAAUGCAGAGUGGGGCUGCCUGUUUUGUUCCUUUUGCAAACACACACAAACAUGAUGAUGGGGAGCAGCACCAGGGACAUGUCAAAGAUGACAGCAGCACUGGUCAGGUGCAAAUUGCCCUUCGAAAAAUGCCUAAGGCAGCACAGCUUUUGGCAGUCUUUUUUUUUUUUCUUUUCUAAUCAAGGCAAAGAUUUCUCUAAAAAAGCACAUAGUAAAGGAAGCCAAAGGAAUGUUAGUGCCUGUCUCUAGAAGCCACAUUUAUCUAUUUUUAGUCCCCAGCAAAGCCCAGUACACUGUAAUCAGUAUAAUAACAUGCUGUCUUUCAUAAAGACAGAUGACACAGUUGACCUUCAGUCCCCAUCUGGACACAGGACGUGUGCUGUGGGUUGUUUUGUCAGCUGUGGGCUUGGAUUAUUUGUCUGUACCCUCUCAUCUAGUUUGGAUCAGAACCAGGCAUUUUCAGGAAGACUAGAAAAUAUGAGUGUGGGGUCAACUGGACCUCUGAAAAAAGAAUUGGUAGAUGUGAAGUCUGAAGGCAUCAUGGGUGGAAUUAGUAUGGAAUUUUGCUCAAGUUACUUACUUCUGUAAAGACCUACUGGCCCCUUAUACUUUGUGGAAUAAAAUCUUCACCUUGAUCUUUUUCACCCAAGUUGGUAACUCAAUGCAGUCUUCCUGCUGGACCACUUCCUCAAUCUUGGGACAUCAAAUAUAUACUCUCAACCUCCUUGAACACAAUAAAACUUAACUUUCUCCAGGUAGGAAGCCAUGAACACUGCAUAUUGCACAUGGGACCUAAAGACAUGGGAGGAAGAAACAGCAUCAGGUUGUCUCACGUGGUGAAGCUUUCAGAAUACCCUCCCUUACAGGCAGCACUGUCCAUCCACUUGGAACCUUCUCUUCCUACUCUCCACAGCAAUCUUAACCAUCUCUCUGGCUUCAGGCUGCUCUUCUUCCAACUAGACUGGGUUCAUCCCACUAGAUGACCCAGGCUUUUCAAUAUUGCAUGUAAAUGUUAUGGCUCUUUCAGUCCCUGCCUACUCCUGAGUCAUUGGUCUCCAAAUCUCAAUGUCAUUCUGCUAGUCCUGGGAAAAGUACAAAGAAAUCUCUUACCAAGCCUCAUUUUCCUCACUUGUAAUGUACAGAUGACUUCUUAGUUCCCUUCCAGUUUGAAAUCCUAGUCCCAAGAAUGGCUUUUCCAACUGUGAGCAACCUGAUACAAGCCUAUCAUCAUUGGAUAUAAUUGGGCUAUAUACAUACAGGUAGAAACAGGUAUAACUAUACACAGAAGACUCAUCUUUUAUACAUGCCAUCACAACCUACAAUUGUAUGUAAAGACCUUAGUCAUUUACAUUGUAGCAUUCAACCUUCACAAUAAAGUUAAUAAAGGCAAGGGCAGGUGUUGCCACUCAAAUUCAGAUCUUCUGACUUUAGGGCCAGGGCUCUCUAUGUGACCCCACACUGUAUCCCUGGUAAGCAGAGGCACUGGGAGCUUAUACGCCUCAGAGAGAGUGGGUAAUGGAGUAUUCUCCCCUCUGAGUCCUCUGAGCUGGUAUAAUGCUAUAGUUAAGAUCAGGCCCUGCAUCAGACUGAGCUAAAUUUGAAUCUUAUAAUUUAGUAGCUGUGUACUGUUGAGCAAGCUAUUCAACUUCUCUGAACCUCAAGUUAGCAUUCUGUAAAAUGAGGGAAUUAAUAAUAUCACAAUGGAGUUAUGAGGAUUUAAUGAGGUAGUUCAUGGAAGUGCUUAACACAGAUCUAGCACAUAGUGCCCCCAAAAUAAUAGUAUUAUUUAGAUUAAUAUUGUAUAUUAACUUGCAUUGAUUCCCAAAGUAUUUCCUGCCCUGUCUGUUCAGAAUCAUUUUAAUUUUUAAAAUCCAGGAGCAAUACACUACUCCUAGUGGAGAACUUGAAUCCAAGGUGAGAUUAGAUGAGCAGGUUCAGAAAGGAUGUUCAAGAAACUUGAUGGAAGAAAAGGUACCACUUGUAGAACUCUGUGGUCUUUCAGAUUGUUGUAAUGCCAGUGAUUCAUUAUAGCCAACACAGAGCAAAUCAUUUGUUAAUAAACAGAGCAUCUCACAAGGAAUGCUAACAGGUCUCUUUAAAGGAGCACCAAUCCCAUAAAAAGCCAAAAGUAAGAAUAAAUAAUAGCAAGAAGCUUGACAUUCAAUGCAGGACAUAUUUCCUGCAUGGGGCCUGCUCGGAACACUUAAAGGUCCAUCUGGAAACAGCAUCAUGCAGAAGCGAGGUCUGCAGCCAGGUCAAGCCAAGCCACCUUUCAUGCUGAGACCCCGACUCUUCUGAAGUUACAAAGUUCAAGGUGAAUCCUCUUCCACAUCCCAGAUAACCAGCUGCCACUCAGGCAUUCCUGAUAAAAGUUCAUCCAGGCUUAGAGUGAAUGAAGUAUUAGGGAGAUAACGAAAAAGUACCCAGGGUCAAAUACAAUGGAAUCCACUUCUCAAACCAGCCCACGACUGUUGAGUGUGCAGCUCCUAUAUUCUCUAGGAAUCCUCUCUCAGAUACAUCUGGUACUUCUAAAUCGGUUUCAUCUUUUAGAUGUAUAUGGAAGAGUGGAGGUUUAAGUAUCUUGGGAGGAAAUCUAAGGAGAUACAGAAUAGAACAAAGUGAAGUGCUGUGAUCCAAAACUGGGGAUCCCUGGGUUCUGCCUCUGCCUGUGGCUUGUGCGCUAUCUAUGACCCAUGGCUCGCAGUUCUGAUGGAGGCUGACCCUCCACCUGUGAAUAUGCUCAGUGGAAAUGAAAGCUUCCAAGUUGGGGAGGGCAAGAAGACUCUUAAGCCUUUCAUACCCUGAGGUUCUAUUUCCCUUCCUUUCUCUGGUCCUCAGUUUCUUAAUCUGUAAAGCAUGGAGCCUAAGCAGGCCUCUCUAGACCAUACAUGAUAUGCUACAGGUCUUCUUGAAUCCAAGGGGUCAUCAGACAUCCUCUUUCUUCAGCCUAGCUCUGGCCUUAAGCCAAUUCCUGCCCACCUUUUAAAAAAUGUGCCUGUGUCACUGACUACCCCGAUGUUCAGCUCUGGAGUUGGAAGUAGGAUCUGAUCAUAGCAUCCUCAGUGGAAGGCAUUUACCACAUGACAUAUAGAUUAACUCUGGGAAGACAUGCUUAGCACCAAUGGCACAUUUAGUCUUUCCUGGGCAGAACCUGACAAAUCUAACCAUUUCUGAAGCAGGGCCUUAUACUCAGGGCGACCCACUGGUUUAUCAUCCAAAUAGGGAUACUUCUGAGAGUGACAAGGGUCACUAACGGCUAUUAAUUAAUUAAUAUUAAUUAAAUGACUAAGGGGUAUUAAUAAAUACACCUGAACCACAGGACUGUCCCAGGUAUCCUAGGACUUAAGGUCAUCAUACUUAAACGUAUUUAUGGAGGAGAGCCUGUGAUAAUUUCAUCAUUAGCCCAAGACAAGAACAGAUGCCCCAGUGUGGACAUGCAUGGGGUCAGAUUUGGUUAUCACAUAGGCCUGAGGACACUGCUGGCAUUGAGCUGGUGGGCAUCAGGGAUGCUAAAUGUCCUGCAAUGUACAAAAUAAUCCCACACAACAGAGAAUUAUCUGGCUCAAAAUGGCCAAAAUUUCCCUACUGAAAAAUACUGAUAUGGUGGGAUAAGAAUAAUUGUAAACAAUGAUAUAAAACGCAGGAUGACAACUUCAAAUGCCUUCAGGGCCAGUCAGGAAUUGGAAGAUCUAUGCCCCUUCUUAAGGAGUUUAAAUUUAAGUCUUUAAAACAAUGCCAAACAAUUUCCAUCCAUAUGCACUAAAUUUGGCUUUUGGCCUCCAGAUUGUGGACUUCUAAUAGACAUUUACUGAUCAGAAAUUAUGUCUAUGUUAUAUUAAGUAAAAACGAAAAGCUACAGCGUAAUCCCAUUAUAUGCGUGUGUGUGUGUGUGUGUGUGUGUGUAUGCAUUCUCUCUUCAUACAUAUAUAAGGAGGGAGAAGAUUCCUAUAUGUAUGUAUGUCAGUCCAUACAUGUAUGUACAUAUGUGUAUGUACACCAAAAUUCUGGAAGAAUAUAGAAUGAAAUUUAGAGUGACAAAGAGAGUAGAUGACCUGAAGUAUAGGUAUUUUCCCCUUUAAAGUUUUCCAUAGCCAUGGACAAAUAUGAACAUUUUUAGCAGCUAUUGGCAACUACUUAUGAUGAAGGCCCCCUGGGAAUAGUCUAUGAAAAGAAACAGCAGCCACAACUCUAGGGUCUGUGCCUGUGAUUGUCAUCACAUCCCAAAUGAUUUUUCCUAACCCUCAAUCAGACUUCUGAUGGGCAUAAAUCCACACCCCUGGGCUCAGCCUGUUGACCCACAGGAAUUAGAGCAAUGUUGAAGGGUGGGGUGCAUACUGGUGGGGAAUGGGAGGGAACUGGUUGCAAAGGAGCAAACCAUUCUCCACUCGCAUGUUAUACUGUGAGGAAAACACGUGCCCAGGCCACCAAGGCAAUCAUUUCUGGGCUCGAAAACAGGAAGAAAUUCACUAAACACUAUGUCGCCAACACAAAGAGUGGAGAAGAUUUGCCAAGAGUGCAGUCCUGUCUUGACCGGGACAUCAGCAUUAAAGGCAGGACCCACUGCCAAGCUCAUGAUUUCUGAAGCAAAGGGGCAGCCACUUGCCUUAGGCCUCCUCUAAUGGCUCUCAGAUAAUCUUAACUUGGGCCUGUAGAUGACAAGGGGUCACUGGGACUCUUUUCCCAUUUACGUGGGAGGAGAUGACUUUUCUAAGCCCCUCAACCUCCAUGAUUUCCCCCACUCUCAUAACAAUCCUAUAAUGAGCUGGGCCCCUUCCAUGUACUAACUCAUUUAAUCCUAACAAUAACCCUAUGAGGCAAGCAUUACUGUCCCCAUUUUACUGAUGAAGAAACAGAGACUCAGGGAGGUUAAGUCUCACAGCUAGUCAGUGUCAGGUUUCAAGUCUAGACUUGUCAGUGCCACAGCCUUUAACUUCCUGUGUUCACCCACCAUUGCACACCUUCAAGGAGCGGCAGACAGAGCUGAGGUAGGUCCUUCAUGGGCAAUGUAACCAUUGCAGCUAGCGCUACUUGAGGAAAAUGUCCAAAGACACAAGGGGCUCUGGAACUGGGCCUUUGGAGACAGGACGUGGACUGACCAUCCAAUUGAUCUGCUGUGCCACUGACCCAGAAAUCAGCCAGAAAUUUCCUCGAUAAUGUCUGAUAAAAUUAAAGAGCAACGGUAGUGAGAAUUGAAUGUGGAGAAAGUGAUCACUUUCUUUUUUCUUUUUUUUUAAAACGGAGUUUUGCUCUUGUUGCCCAGGCUGGAGUGCAGUGGCAUGAUCUCGGCUCACUGCAACCUCUGCCUUGUGAGUUCAAGCAAUUCUCCUGCCUCAGCCUCCAGAGUAGCU
Molecule: long non-coding RNA, 6038 nt
Filed under: Homo sapiens (human)
Lineage: Eukaryota; Metazoa; Chordata; Mammalia; Primates; Hominidae
Description: HSALNT0053435
Source: RNAcentral